This 445-nucleotide long non-coding RNA is filed under the name Rattus norvegicus (Norway rat). RNAcentral describes it as "long non-coding RNA NONRATT024283". The record is from RNAcentral. Lineage: Eukaryota; Metazoa; Chordata; Mammalia; Rodentia; Muridae.
UAGUUGUUAAUGGUGCUUUAUUUAAUGUUGGUUUUAGUAAGCAUACAAAAUAGGUCUCAUUAUGGCAUUGUCUUUUUUCUUUUUUAAAGGGAAAGAUUUAUUUAUUUAUUUCAUGUAUGUGGGUACACCGUAGCUGUCUUCAGACACACCAGAAGAGGGCAUCGGAUCCCAUUACAGAUGGUUGUGAGCCACCAUGUGUUGCUGGGAAUUUGAACUCAGGACCUCUGCAAGAGCAGUCAGUGCUCUUAACCACUGAGCCAUCUAUCACUCCAGCCCCUCAUUAUGGCAUUUGCAUAUGGGCAUCACUGAACUUUUCUCCUAUUCACUGUCUGCUCGCCCCCAAAUUGUCAGUCAACACUCCCCUGACUCAAGGAAAACAAUGUGCAUGUGAGAAAGCACGCCAAAGUUUGUUUUUCCCCACCUCCAUACAUACCUUCCCCUCUAG